This is a non-coding RNA of Nylanderia fulva, 1200 nucleotides long. Lineage: Eukaryota; Metazoa; Arthropoda; Insecta; Hymenoptera; Formicidae. The record is from RefSeq and is a predicted model, not a curated record.
ACGCGUAUACACCCUCUUCGGGGGUAGUGGCGCGGUACCGACGCCGACGUCGAGGUUGGGGUGGACGCACCGCAGGAGAGGGGCGCCAUUAUAUUUGCGCAGGGCCGUCCAAUAGGGCGCAGUAUCGUCCCGACCGUCGUCGCGUGCACACGCUCGUUUGUUGUCGCGCGCCCGGACUUGUCAAACGCGCGUCGAACCAUCAUCCCCCGUGAAUAUAUAUAUAUAUAUAUAUUCGCGUUCCCCAUCGAGGGUGACUCCACGCGAGAGUCUCUCCCGCGUUUCAUAUACAUAUAUCUUUCUCGAUUUUCUCUCUUUUUUUUUUCUCCCCAUCUCUCUCUCGCUCUACAACCCCCUCGGUGUUCUUCAUCCCCCUCCGAGCGUACCCUAUAUAUUCGCCCGCGAAUAUAUAAACAACAACAGAGAGCGCGAGUCCGACCACGCACGAGGAUCGUGUUGCGGAAAGUGUUGCGAAAGCUGCGAGAGAAAUCAAAACGAAAGAGCCAGAGAUCGAUCAGAGAAAACCAUAUCACACUUUAAGAGGAACUGUAUAUCUUGGUGAUCAAUAUAUUGUCUACAACACCUUUAUUAUUGUGCAUCGUAUCGUAUAAUGACCGUCUGGAUGAGAUUCGUCAGGAUCAAGCAAGGCGAUCAAUUUCAAUGGACCCAAUCAUAAAGCUUAGAACAUUACGGUCGAUGCGUCGCCAGAUUUGAGAGGAACGCCAAGACGAGAACGGAGAAGAAAGCCCCAACAAAAGGGGGCUCGAAAAGGGGCUUCGAUCGGCUCGACACCGAUGGAGCCGUCCUGAUGCGGACCGCGAAACUACGCGGGGAUUACCCGGCCCGUUCGUCGGACUAAUUCCACGGCAGAUCCCGGCGAUUUUGCGGAGCAGCGUGCCACGCCGCUCUCGCACAUCUCCCUCGACGGCGCGACAGACCCAGCCACUUCCACUUCCUCCACCCCACGUGGCCGCACCAUCACCUGAUAAGAUUUCCCUGAUCGCUGGAUACCCUGGCUAUUCUUUCUGUCGGACCCAUCGUAGGCUUUUCUACUAGCGAGUGAAUAUACACGCGAUUUAAAGGUGACAGAUCAUUUCGAGAUAAUAAUUAAUUUUUAGAUCGUUCUUCGAUAUUAUCCUAAAUUGAAUAUAUUGCAUAAAAUGGCAAAUUUUUAUCUUAUUGUAAUAAAUUAUAUAUACAAUA